Molecule: long non-coding RNA, 1808 nt
Filed under: Homo sapiens (human)
Lineage: Eukaryota; Metazoa; Chordata; Mammalia; Primates; Hominidae
Description: HSALNT0214158
Source: RNAcentral
CACCCAAGCCAGAAACAGCAACCCUUCUGGGUCCCCUUCCACCACGCAGAAGCUUUACUUUCGCUUUCACUUUACUUUUGCUUUCACUUUAACAAAUCUUGCAGCCGCACACUCUUUGGGUCCGCCCGUUUCUCUAAUCAAGUUGUAACACUCGCUGCUGUGGUCCACAGCUUCAUUCCUUGAAGCCCGUGAGACACGAACGCUUCCAUUGAGAAAAACCUUCCAUCAGAAGAAGACUUCUCGUCUCAGUGGGACUGCUGAGUUGAAUGGUGCUUUUUUUUCUGAAGCUUUGGUAGUGUAACUGUAAGAGUCCUGGAAUUGGAAAAGCAAAUCCAGAAGUUGAGUUCCAUGACUUUUUUGCUGUUUGCCUUUGGACUUGCAUCAUUUAUAUUUUUAAUUCAUCGAGGAUGAGAAAAUUGAUUAACACAAAAUCUUUUCAUGUCUUUUCUGAUGAGAGACUAGCUGAAUCCAAGAAGAGAAGCCCUUGAAGAGUGUAUUCUAUUCUAGACAAGCAUUCACACAUUGGCUUCUUUGGUGCCAGCAUGUUUCUGAUCAGCAUGAAAACUGCGCAGGAGCUUUUCUGUCUUGCAGAGCUAGUUAAUGAGAUUGUUGCUGCCUUCAGAUUCUAUAAAGGACUUCUCCAAUAUUGGAUUAAAGAAUGAAGAAAGGAUCAAAUUGAGACAUCCAGGGGGGAAGAGUUCCCUGGCAAAACUCCAAUCUGCCUGAGCACUGAGGUGGAGCCACAGAAGUCCGGGUCAUUUGCACCUGGGAGGAGCCUGGCCCCUCCUCUUCCUGUGUGGAAUCUGGGAUUUAAUCUGUGAGGAGGGAAGGCCAAGGGCAGGAAGCACAGGCUCUCACUUCACUAAGAGUCUCUGUUUCCCCUUUUUUUCCUUUAUGCCUAAUUAAUAAAUCCCAUUUUUCUCACUCUUCAAAUAGUCUUCAAGCCUAAAUUUUCAUGACCAUGGAACAAGGACCCCAUCUUUAGCUGAACUAAGGAAAAGUCCUGCAACAAAAUUCUUUGCUAAAAAUACAUGAGGUUGCCUUUUCCUUCUUAAUCUUAAAAGAAAUAUAUUUCAAUGGUUAACGUUUUAGUAAUUCAAAAAUUAUCAAGCAUUUGUUCACAACCAUAAGAUGUGCAUUGUUUUAUAUUCCUACUUAAUAAUAGACUAUAAUUGUCUAAUUAGACUGCCGAUGUUGAUCUUUGUGGCUCAUUGCAUUGAUUAUAAGCAGUGUUUUGGGUUUGUGUGUGUGUGUCAAAUUUAGGGUUUUUUUGGUAUGGCUGCUGGUUGGUGUAGCCUGUAUCCAGUAUCCUGUAUUAAUUCUAAUAUUUGCAUUUUGAACAUAUUUACAAGUUGCUAAAAUAGCAAAGCUUCGAGAUGAGCCUGGCUGAUAUGGCAAAACCCCGUCUCUACUAAAAAUACAAAAAUUAGCCUGGUGUGGUGGUGCAUGCCUGUAAUCCCAGCUACUUGGAAGUCUGAGGCAGGAGAAUCUCUUGAACCCAGAAGGUGGAGGUUGCAGUGGGCCAAGAUCGCACCACUGCACUCCAGCCUCGGUGAUAGAGCGAGACUACGUCUCAAAAAUAAAAUAAAAUAAAAUAAAAUAAAAAUAGCAAAGCUAUGUAUGGUUUCUCUGAGUUUUGUAAUUUAUCAUUGUUAACUGCAGAAAUUUAUUAUAUGAGACAUAUUAUAUGAGACAUAUAAGUGAAUUUGGAUUGGGUUUAAUUUUAUAUUUUUGAAUAUAGUUCUUCAAGAUAAAUUUUAUCUUAGACCUCAAGAAAUAAAAAUAAAAUAAAUUAGAUAUACAAACGA